This is a long non-coding RNA of Heterocephalus glaber (naked mole-rat), 434 nucleotides long. NCBI's taxonomy places the organism in Eukaryota, Metazoa, Chordata, Mammalia, Rodentia, Bathyergidae. The record is from Ensembl.
ACUAUAAUGAUGCCUACUGUGUGCAUAGUGGUGGCUAAAGAGGAUGCAGAGCCUCUUCUGUUCAAACGUGGCAGUCACUUAUUACAAAGAGAGGAUGGAGAAUUGAAUUUAAUUUUGUCAGGAUGUAAAAUCCUGCCCAUCCAAAUGAGCCACCAUGAACUAAGCAGCUUUGUUCUGCUAUGAGCUUCUGUGUGGUGUUUCUGCCUUGGAUCCAGCCAACUAUGAAUUGUCACCUCUGAAACUGAAUGCAGAAUGCAACAGUUGUGGGGUCAGGAAGGCUUCCACCCAGAUUUCAAAGGAAGGCCUGGGAAGCCAGGCAAAGACCUCCAGACUUACAGUACAUGAAACUGAAGAUGCACUAGAGACCCCAGGAAGUCAGAGAUGUGAAGAAUGUGGAAUAUCUGCUGAGGAAAGCCACAGGCUGUGAAUGAACC